Molecule: RNA transcript, 3147 nt
Organism: Etheostoma cragini (Arkansas darter)
Lineage: Eukaryota; Metazoa; Chordata; Actinopteri; Perciformes; Percidae
Gene: ism2a
Gene name: isthmin 2a
Exons: 7
Source: RefSeq, a predicted model, not a curated record
UGGUCUGCAACCAGAGGAACCGAUGACUGUCUCGAUGUCACCUCUAAGGACCAGAGGAGGGAACUCCAAACCCCGUGGACAUGGUUUAGCCGGCUCUCCGUUCCGUGGGCUACAAGUCAACUCAUUGGGCACUUCAGCUGUUAGAGAAUCAUCGUUUUGAUGUUUGUGUGUCCUACAUAUGCGUGAAAUGAACAGACCACUAUUAGAAAGCGGAUAUCGGGGAUUAUUACAAUUAGGGGAGCAAGCGACUCAAAGCGGAGCGGCAGCGAGCAGGAGGCGCGCGUACGGACAACACGCACGUGUGCCGCUUUGGUUUCUAUUUGGCUCUCUGCGCACUGAAAUAGUUUGAACACUCCUCUUCCAUCUGAGUAUCCAGGCUGGGGGGAUUCUGCGUGUUGGAGCAUUUGGAGAAGAGCUGUGGUGAAGAUGCAGCGGAGGGCAGUGUCGCAUCUGUGGCUGCUGGUCCUCGCCGUGCUGUGGGUGUCCGUCCGUGGGUUUCCCACGCAGGUCAGCAAGACCUCAGCCAGAGGGAGAAACACCACGGCGUCUGUUCCUGAGGUGAUAGCAGAGCCUAGCCAAGGCGACAGUCACAAGACUCUCCGGGAGCUCCAGCAGGAGAAUCUGCUGCAGACUCUUCCCUCUGGUCCGUCUCUCCAUAGGCCCAGGCAUCGCUGGUCCCAGGACCUUCACCCAGGUGUCCUCCCACCACCUGAACCUGAGGAGGACACUAAUCGUUUUGUCCUGGACCUGAGGAACUUCCCAGAGCUGGCCAAUGCAGACAUGAGCUCACAGAACCCCAACAUCCAGGUGACCAUCGAGGUGGUAGACGACAAACAGACGGAGACGGAGGUGGAGAUGGACCUGGUCAAGGAGGGCCAGCGUAACGACUGGUCGCUGUCGUCCUCAGAAUGGGCCAAUAGCCACAAGAAGCUGUUCUGGCCACUGUUCUGGGAGUACCCAGAGCAGCCGGAGAACGGGCUGGAGAGAGCCAGUUUGGAGGAACCAUCGGAGGACCACAUCUACGACCCCGAGGAGCCCGUUCUGAGUGGAGUCGGGGGAGACUGGGGCGGUCACUGGAACAAAGACUGGGAUACAAAGGAUAACUAUGAGUAUGAGGAGGAGUGGGGUGACUGGGCUCCCUGCAGCAUCACCUGUGGACAUGGCACCCAGAAACGCACCCGUUCAUGUGGCUACGCGUGCAUGGCGACUGAGUCACGCACGUGUGACUUGGAGAACUGUGCCGACAUUGCCAAUUCAGUGACUGAACUGACACCCAUCCAGACGACCAACAGCACCGACUCCCUGGACACAAAUGUAGACAGCUGUGAGAAGUGGCUGAGCUGCAAGAAUGACUUCCUCCAAAAGUACCUGCACCAAGUGCUCACAGAGCUCCCCAGCUGCCCAUGUUCCUACCCCUCUGAGGCGGUUUACAGUGCCGUCAACAUCCAGGACGAAAAACUGCGCAAGACCUAUCGCUGGAGGGACGCGAGCGGACCCAAAGAACGCCUUGACAUCUACAAACCUUCAGCCAGGUUCUGCAUCCGCUCAAUGCUGUCGUAUGAAAGCACAACGUUGGCGGCGCAGCACUGCUGCUACGACGAUCAGAUAAGACUGAUCACGCGAGGGAAAGGAGCAGGAGCGCCAAAUUUAAUCAGUACAGAGUUCUCACCAGAGCUGCAUUACAAGGUGGAUGUAUUGCCCUGGAUUCUGUGCAAGGGGGACUGGAGUAGGUUUCACUCGGUAAGGCCGCCCAAUAAUGGGCUGGACUGUUCAGACAACCCCCCUGAACAAGUGUUUCAGGUGGAACUUAAAGAGGCCAGGGAGUACUGACAGUGUGAUAACAAGAAGGGAGGACAACAUGGACACAAUGAUGGUAGCUGCUUGUUCAAAUCCUCAUUUCUCUUGUUUACUUUCUCCAUUCUGCACAAGCACAGAAAAACUAAACAGCUACAUGUAUACGGAAUUUCUGUGGCGCCAGCUGAAGUGUUUUGGUGUAUUUGCAAGCUUUGUUGGCCUCCAGCAUCAAUUGACACUUUGGUCCCCUUGGCUUUAAAAUACAAUGAAUAAAAACAUGAAUGGAAGGCAUGGACAACCAAAAAUGGUGACGAUUUUUUGUAGUAUUAAUCAGACUUUGUCACUGAUGUUGGAACCCUUGGAAGGACAAUGAUGAUGAAAUCUGUGUUUUAAAGCAUGUUAACAGCUAAUCCCUGUUCCUGUAUGUUGCUGCUACUCUGUUGGGAUGAGCUGAGGUGAAUGUCUCUGAUGGCAGUGGCGUGCGUGAGUGUGUGUGUGUGUGUUGGUGUGUGUGUGUGUGUGUGUGCGUGCAUACAGAGGAUGAGCUUAUUUAUUGGCCCCUGAACUAUUUUAAUCCGAUCUAGUUUCCCAGGAAAGGGAUUCCUGAUUUGCUGGUAAGCAGGAAAUAAAGUCAAAUGGACCUUUGUACUAUACAUGCUUUAUUUCCUAAUCUUUACAAAUAUUAUGACAUACUUAUUGCCGGAGCAUGUCUGGGAGUUUCUUCCUGUCCACAUCUUCAGUUUCAUGGAAAACAUACAUAUGUUCCAUGAAACGCAGAGGAAAACUUUCAGGCGUAUUAAGCCCCAUUUGGACUCAACGAUACAAUUAUCUAAGAAUUCUGGGAAAAGGUGUUUCUGUUCUGCUGUGUUUUUCUGAUUUAAAGAAAUACCUCAAAGUCCUGUGGAAUAUCUCACCUGCUUAGAGGUCAGUUGCUGCAAGAUUUGGAGUAUGUCAUUCGGAAAACAGAGCAGAAUUUCUUUUCACAUGACAAUUUAUCUCAGAAUUCUGAGAUAAUGAAUUAUCAGGAAAACAUUUUUUUUUGUUAUUUAUCCUAAGAAAUUCCAUAAGAUUUUCUUUAGUGAAAGAUUUAACAUUCCUACAGCAUUCAUGCUAAGCUGAGGACAUUUGAACGUAUACUUGCAUAUUUUAAAAGGGGAUUUGGUUCACAUACCAUUUUGAAAUCAUUUUCAAGUUUGUCAUUCAUACUGACAUGCCAAAACAAAUAAAAUAUUUUUACAUCUCUUUACUGCCUUGAACAUAGUGUUUGUGGGUGGAAAGCCAGUGAAGGCUGACAUAAUGGUACUCCAAUAGUGCUGGAUUUUCCACUGGAUAUCACUCUUUUGACCAGAUGUC